RNAcentral lists this ribosomal RNA (468 nucleotides) under uncultured bacterium. RNAcentral's name for it is "partial 16S ribosomal RNA". It matches the Rfam family "Bacterial small subunit ribosomal RNA", at positions 28 to 507 of the family's 1533-position model. The record is from RNAcentral.
GACGAACGCUGGCGGCGUGCUUAACACAUGCGAGUCGAACGGAAAGGCCCUGCUUUUGUGGGGUGCUCGAGUGGCGAACGGGUGAGUAACACGUGAGUAACCUGCCCUGGACUUUGGGAUAACUUCAGGAAACUGGGGCUAAUACCGGAUAGGAGCUCCUGCUGCAUGGUGGGGGUGGGAAAGUUUCGGCGGUUGGGGAUGGACUCGCGGCUUAUCAGCUUGUUGGUGGGGUAGUGGCUUACCAGGGCUUUGACGGGUAGCCGGCCUGAGAGGGUGACCGGCCACAUUGGGACUGGGAUACGGCCCAGACUCCUACGGGAGGCAGCAGUGGGGAAUAUUGCACAAUGGGCGGAAGCCUGAUGCAGCAACGCCGCGUGCGGGAUGACGGCCUUCGGGUUGUAAACCGCUUUCGCCUGUGACGAAGCGUGAGUGACGGUAAUGGGUAAAGAAGCACCGGCUAACUACGUG